UGGAGUGGAGUGGAGUGGCUAACGCUAACUCUGGGCUGAGAGUGGAGUGGAGUGGCUAACGCUAACUCUGUGCUGAGAGUGGAGUGGAGUGGCUAACGCUAACGCUAACUCUGGGCUGAGAGUGGAGUGGAGUGAAGUGGAGUGGAGUGGCUAACGCUAACUCUGGGCUGAGAGUGGAGUGGAGUGGAGUGGCUAACGCUAACGCUAACUCUGGGCUGAGAGUGGAGUGGAGUGGCGUGGCUAACGCUAACUCUGGGCUGAGAGUGGAGUGGAGUGGCGUGGCUAACGCUAACUCUGGGCUGAGAGUGGAGUGGAGUGGAGUGGCUAACGCUAACGCUAACACUAACUCUGGGCUGAGAGUGGAGUGGCUAACGCUAACGCUAAUUCUGGGCUGAGAGUGGAGUGGAGUGGAGUGGCUAACGCUAACUCUGGGCUGAGAGUGGAGUGGAGUGGCUAACGCUAACUCUGUGCUGAGAGUGGAGUGGAGUGGCUAACGCUAACGCUAACUCUGGGCUGAGAGUGGAGUGGAGUGAAGUGGAGUGGAGUGGCUAACGCUAACUCUGGGCUGAGAGUGGAGUGGAGUGGAGUGGAGUGGCUAACGCUAACUCUGGGCUGAGAGUGGAGUGGAGUGGCGUGGCUAACGCUAACUCUGGGCUGAGAGUGGAGUGGAGUGGAGUGGCUAACGCUAACUCUGGGCUGAGAGUGGAGUGGCUAACGCUAACGCUAAUUCUGGGCUGAGAGUGGAGUGGAGUGGAGUGGCUAACGCUAACUCUGGGCUGAGAGUGGAGUGGCUAACGCUAACGCUAACUCUGGGCUGAGAGUGGAGUGGAGUGGAGUGGCUAACGCUAACGCUAACUCUGGGCUGAGAGUGGAGUGGAGUGGCUAACGCUAACGCUAACUCUGGGCUGAGAGUGGAGUGGAGUGGAGUGGAGUGGCUAACGCUAACGCUAACUCUGGGCUGAGAGUGGAGUGGCUAACGCUAACGCUAAUUCUGGGCUGAGAGUGGAGUGGAGUGGAGUGGCUAACGCUAACUCUGGGCUGAGAGUGGAGUGGAGUGGCUAACGCUAACUCUGGGCUGAGAGUGGAGUGGAGUGGAGUGGAGUGGCUAACGCUAACUCUGGGCUGAGAGUGGAGUGGAGUGGCUAACGCUAACUCUGGGCUGAGAGUGGAGUGGAGUGGAGUGGAGUGGCUAACGCUAACUCUGGGCUGAGAGUGGAGUGGAGUGGAGUGGAGUGGCUAACGCUAACUCUGGGCUGAGAGUGGAGUGGAGUGGCUAACGCUAACGCUAACUCUGGGCUGAGAGUGGAGUGGAGUGGAGUGGAGUGGAGUGGAGUGGCUAACGCUAACUCUGGGCUGAGAGUGGAGUGGAGGGGAGUGGCUAACGCUAACUCUGGGCUGAGAGUGGAGUGGAGUGGCUAACGCUAACGCUAACUCUGGGCUGAGAGUGGAGUGGAGUGGAGUGGAGUGGAGUGGAGUGGCUAACGCUAACUCUGGGCUGAGAGUGGAGUGGAGGGGAGUGGCUAACGCUAACUCUGGGCUGAGAGUGGAGUGGAGGGGAGUGGCUAACGCUAACUCUGUGCUGAGAGUGGAUGGCUAACGCUAACGCUAACUCUGUGCUGAGAGUGGAGUGGAGUGGCUAACGCUAACUCUGGGCUGAGAGUGGAGUGGAGUGGCUAACGCUAACGCUAACGCUAACUCUGGGCUGAGAGUGGAGUGGAGUGGCUAACGCUAACGCUAACUCUGGG
Molecule: long non-coding RNA, 1745 nt
Organism: Clupea harengus (Atlantic herring)
Lineage: Eukaryota; Metazoa; Chordata; Actinopteri; Clupeiformes; Clupeidae
Source: Ensembl